Molecule: unclassified non-coding RNA, 241 nt
Filed under: Hevea brasiliensis (rubber tree)
Lineage: Eukaryota; Viridiplantae; Streptophyta; Magnoliopsida; Malpighiales; Euphorbiaceae
Source: RNAcentral
UGUAAAACUCAAUUUAUCUACUGAGAGAAAGUAUGUUGAGUAGAGACACCCUUGUCCGGAUCAAAAGCUUGAACAACAUUUCCAAUCCAUUUUCAAGAUCCUCAAUGCUACUCUCCAAAUUCUCCAGAUUCUUUUGCGCAAAUUCAAAACUUUCCACUUCCUCUUCAUGUCCAGAAACAUGAUCCAGCAAGCUGUUGAGUGCAGUGUCAACUUUCUCCAACUCAGUUAGCUUUUCCCUUUG